This 495-nucleotide ribosomal RNA is filed under the name uncultured bacterium. RNAcentral describes it as "partial 16S ribosomal RNA". It matches the Rfam family "Bacterial small subunit ribosomal RNA", at positions 30 to 523 of the family's 1533-position model. The record is from RNAcentral.
AUUGAACGCUGGCGGCAGGCCUAACACAUGCAAGUCGAGCGCGAAAGUCUUCGGAUGAGUAAAGCGGCGGACGGGUGAGUAAUGCAUGGGAAUCUGCCUGGUAGUGGGGGACAACGUUUCGAAAGAGACGCUAAUACCGCAUACGCCCUACGGGGGAAAGGGGGGGAUCUUCGGACCUCUCGCUAUCAGAUGAGCCCAUGUCAGAUUAGCUAGUUGGUAGGGUAAAGGCCUACCAAGGCGACGAUCUGUAACUGGUCUGAGAGGAUGAUCAGUCACACUGGAACUGAGACACGGUCCAGACUCCUACGGGAGGCAGCAGUGGGGAAUAUUGGACAAUGGGGGAAACCCUGAUCCAGCCAUGCCGCGUGUGUGAAGAAGGCCCUAGGGUUGUAAAGCACUUUCAGUGGGGAGAAAGGUUAUUCACCUAAUACGUGAGUAAAUUGAUGCUACCCACAGAAGAAGCACCGGCUAACUCAGUGCCAGCCGCCGCCGUAA